RNAcentral lists this ribosomal RNA (235 nucleotides) under uncultured bacterium. RNAcentral describes it as "partial 16S ribosomal RNA". It matches the Rfam family "Bacterial small subunit ribosomal RNA", at positions 15 to 241 of the family's 1533-position model. The record is from RNAcentral.
GAUCAUGGCUCAGGAUGAACGCUAGCUACAGGCUUAACACAUGCAAGUCGCGGGGCAGCAUGAAGGAUGCUUGCAUCCUUUGAUGGCGACCGGCGCACGGGUGAGUAACGCGUAUCCAACCUGCCUGUUACCACGGCACAGCCCGUCGAAAGGCGGAUUAAUGCCGUAUGUGGUCCUUUGCGGGCAUCUAAUUAGGACUAAAGGUUCGGCGGUAACGGAUGGGGAUGCGUCAGUA